UUACCAACUGGUAUGCAGGAAAUCAGUAUGGCAUGAGGGAUUUCAUGCCAAUAUUGCUGGCUGCUAGACCCAUCAAAUGGGCAGUAGCUGGCUGGAUGAAUGGGUCGAUAUUGAGUCCAGACCCUGACCAUGGAUUUGCCUUUGUACCAAAUUAUACCCAUACCCGCUAUGUACAGGCUUGUGUUAUGCCACCCUUUGCCAUGCUAAUAAUCAAUGAUACUGAUGGCAUAAAUAUCAAUUGUACAGAGGUCCCUUGUGCAGUCAAUACAUCCUCCUGGCUCACAAAUUAUCUAACCCCUGCUGUGAAAGCUAAACGUAUAUUUAUCCUCAGAGUAUCCCCAGCAAUCUGGCUUUCAGUGAACCUGUCCAGAGAGUGGAGCAAGCACAGGGACUGCAACAAUCAGCCCCAUGCCCCACAUAGAGAUGAAGAAUCUUCUGAAUGAGACCCUACACUAGACAAAGUGAGCAAUUAGCCUCAUCAUCGCUGGAAUUAUUGUCCUGGUAGCUGCUGCCAUCGCCACCACAGCCACUGCUGCUGCUUCGCUCAUUCAGAGUAUCCAGACUGCUCAGACUGUAAACAAUUUGUGUACUGCCAUGGCAGAAGCCUUUGCUGUUCAAAAUGACUUAAAUAAACUGUCCCAAGCCACUAUUUUAGCCAUUCAGGAAGAACUAGACCUUCACCAGGAACAACUAGAUAUUCUGUUU
This 705-nucleotide long non-coding RNA is filed under the name Marmota monax (woodchuck). The record is from RNAcentral. Lineage: Eukaryota; Metazoa; Chordata; Mammalia; Rodentia; Sciuridae.